UAUGAAAUGCUUGGACUGCUGCAGCUGCUACUAUUCCUCUUGCUUUUCGGCAAUUCCCACUGUGAUUUGAUUGCGAUAAAAAAAGGAAAAGAUGUAGUGGCUUGCUUGACAAAUGAUUACACGUCCGCGGUAGCGUUUGUAAAAAGACCUGAUGGCGACAAAGAUUUCACCAAAGUGGAUUACUCGGACGGCGAUGGAAAGCCUAUUCCGCUAAGCAAAUACGACUGUGAUUUGGUCACAGGAAAUUGUACGCAAUGGAAUUGGAAGAAAAGGAAUUACCAAGGAUGGUAUUUAGCUAGCGAAAUAGGUGGUGCCAUCACAGACUACCGU
Molecule: long non-coding RNA, 330 nt
Organism: Cloeon dipterum
Lineage: Eukaryota; Metazoa; Arthropoda; Insecta; Ephemeroptera; Baetidae
Exons: 3
Source: RefSeq, a predicted model, not a curated record